CCUACGGGUGGCUGCAGUGGGGAAUAUUGGACAAUGGGGGGAACCCUGAUCCAGCCAUGCCGCGUGUGUGAAGAAGGCCCUCGGGUUGUAAAGCACUUUCAGUGAGGAAGAACGCCUGGUGGUUAAUACCCAUCAGGAAAGACAUCACUCACAGAAGAAGCACCGGCUAACUCCGUGCCAGCAGCCGCGGUAAUACGGAGGGUGCGAGCGUUAAUCGGAAUUACUGGGCGUAAAGCGCGCGUAGGUGGCUUGAUAAGCCGGUUGUGAAAGCCCCGGGCUCAACCUGGGAACGGCAUCCGGAACUGUCAAGCUAGAGUGCAGGAGAGGAAGGUGGAAUUCCCGGUGUAGCGGUGAAAUGCGUAGAGAUCGGGAGGAAUACCAGUGGCGAAGGCGGCCUUCUGGACUGACACUGACACUGAGGUGCGAAAGCGUGGGUAGCAAACAGGAUUAGAUACCCGGGUAGUC
RNAcentral lists this ribosomal RNA (465 nucleotides) under Vreelandella stevensii. RNAcentral describes it as "partial 16S ribosomal RNA". It matches the Rfam family "Bacterial small subunit ribosomal RNA", at positions 338 to 795 of the family's 1533-position model. The record is from RNAcentral. Lineage: Bacteria; Pseudomonadati; Pseudomonadota; Gammaproteobacteria; Oceanospirillales; Halomonadaceae.